GCCUGGGUGGCUCAGUUGGUUGAGCGUCUGACUUCGGCUCAGGUCAUGAUCUCGCGGUCUGUGAGUUCGAGCCCCGCAUCGGGCU
This 85-nucleotide transfer RNA is filed under the name Felis catus (domestic cat). It matches the Rfam family "tRNA". From Rfam's summary of the family: Transfer RNA (tRNA) molecules are approximately 80 nucleotides in length. Their secondary structure includes four short double-helical elements and three loops (D, anti-codon, and T loops). The record is from Rfam by way of RNAcentral. Lineage: Eukaryota; Metazoa; Chordata; Mammalia; Carnivora; Felidae.